ACUGUCCUAAGCGUUGGGGUAGAGAAGGGAUCACCAGGCCGGACGCCUUUCUUGUCCCACUUGGGGCUUUCCUCUCUGAGUAAUAAUAAUAAUAAUAAUAAUACAUAUGAUAUUUAAGCACUGUUCUAAGCGCCGGGGUAGAUACAGGGUAAUCAGGUUGUCCCACGUGGGGCUCACAUUUUUUAAUCCCCAUUUUUGCAGAUGAGAUAACUGAGGCCCAGAGAAGAGAAGUGACUUGCCCAGGGUCACACAGCAGACAAGUGGGGCUCACAUUUUUUAAUCCCCAUUUUUGCAGAGGAGGUAACUGAGGCCCAGAGGAAGGGAAGUGACUUGCCCAGGGUCACACAGCCGACAAGUGGGGCUCACAUUUUUUAAUCCCCAUUUUUGCAGAGGAGAUAACUGAGGCCCAGAGGAAGGGAAGUGACUUGCCCAGGGUCACACAGCAGACAAGUGGGGCUCACAUUUUUUAAUCCCCAUUUUUGCAGAGGAGAUAACUGAGGCCCAGAGGAAGGGAAGUGACUUGCCCAGGGUCACACAGCAGACAAGUGGCGGAGCCGGGAUUAGAACCCACGCCCUCUGCCUCCCAAGCCCAGACUCUUUCCACUAAGCCACGCUGCUUCUCUAUAGAAGGAGUAGGAGGGAGGAGGAUUGAAUCCCCAUUUUCCAGUUGAUGAGGCUGAUAAGGAUGAUGAUCGCGAUGAUCCCAGGCGAGAGGCAGGGAUUUCUUUCCCUGUAGAUCUGCCAUGGGAAACUUUUGCAGACUCUCUUGAGUAGCCGAGGGGGAGAGGGGGACAAGUGCGGAAUUCCCCAGGGAACACCGGUUGAGGCUGGAGCUUCCAAUCCUGAGAUUUUCCUGAGCAAUUCCAACCGAAUCGGGAGAAAUGGAAUCCCAAAGGAUCCAGUCUCUCCAAUAAUGACAAAUGAUUUUGUUUGGGACAGCGAUUCUGAGAAAGACUAGAUUUCUACGUCUACUACAUUGGGAGCAGGUCCAGCUGGGGAGGUGACCCAGGAUUUUCACUGGCUCAGGAUGACAGCAUAAGAAGUGUGCUAUUGAUCCAAGGCACCCCACCCUUUCCUCCAAGACUUCUCCAGCAUUCUUCUCUUUUGUGUGGGCAAGGAAGGCGGAAGUCUUAUCAC
This 1137-nucleotide long non-coding RNA is filed under the name Ornithorhynchus anatinus (platypus). RNAcentral describes it as "lncRNA (ENSOANG00000043149.1)". The record is from RNAcentral. Lineage: Eukaryota; Metazoa; Chordata; Mammalia; Monotremata; Ornithorhynchidae.